RNAcentral lists this ribosomal RNA (200 nucleotides) under uncultured Pseudomonas sp. RNAcentral describes it as "partial 16S ribosomal RNA". It matches the Rfam family "Bacterial small subunit ribosomal RNA", at positions 1186 to 1382 of the family's 1533-position model. The record is from RNAcentral. Lineage: Bacteria; Pseudomonadati; Pseudomonadota; Gammaproteobacteria; Pseudomonadales; Pseudomonadaceae.
CAAGUCAUCAUCGGUCCUUACGGCCUGGGCUACACACGUGCUACAAUGGUCGGUACAAAGGGUUGCCAAGCCGCGAGGUGGAGCUAAUCCCAUAAAACCGAUCGUAGUCCGGAUCGCAGUCUGCAACUCGACUGCGUGAAGUCGGAAUCGCUAGUAAUCGUGAAUCAGAAUGUCCACGGUCCGAAUACGUUCCGGGCCUU